CCUACGGGUGGCUGCAGUGGGGAAUAUUGGACAAUGGGGGGAACCCUGAUCCAGCCAUGCCGCGUGUGUGAAGAAGGCCCUCGGGUUGUAAAGCACUUUCAGUGAGGAAGAACGCCUGGUGGUUAAUACCCAUCAGGAAAGACAUCACUCACAGAAGAAGCACCGGCUAACUCCGUGCCAGCAGCCGCGGUAAUACGGAGGGUGCGAGCGUUAAUCGGAAUUACUGGGCGUAAAGCGCGCGUAGGUGGCUUGAUAAGCCGGUUGUGAAAGCCCCGGGCUCAACCUGGGAACGGCAUCCGGAACUGUCAAGCUAGAGUGCAGGAGAGGAAGGUAGAAUUCCCGGUGUAGCGGUGAAAUGCGUAGAGAUAGGGAGGAAUACCAGUGGCGAAGGCGGCCUUCUGGACUGACACUGACACUGAGGUGCGAAAGCGUGGGUAGCAAACAGGAUUAGAUACCCGUGUAGUC
RNAcentral lists this ribosomal RNA (465 nucleotides) under Vreelandella stevensii. Its description in RNAcentral is "partial 16S ribosomal RNA". It matches the Rfam family "Bacterial small subunit ribosomal RNA", at positions 338 to 795 of the family's 1533-position model. Lineage: Bacteria; Pseudomonadati; Pseudomonadota; Gammaproteobacteria; Oceanospirillales; Halomonadaceae. The record is from RNAcentral.